This 440-nucleotide ribosomal RNA is filed under the name Lysinibacillus sp. Its description in RNAcentral is "bacterial SSU rRNA". It matches the Rfam family "Bacterial small subunit ribosomal RNA", at positions 984 to 1423 of the family's 1533-position model. Lineage: Bacteria; Bacillati; Bacillota; Bacilli; Caryophanales; Bacillaceae. The record is from RNAcentral.
ACAUCCCGUUGACCACUGUAGAGAUAUAGUUUCCCCUUCGGGGGCAACGGUGACAGGUGGUGCAUGGUUGUCGUCAGCUCGUGUCGUGAGAUGUUGGGUUAAGUCCCGCAACGAGCGCAACCCUUGAUCUUAGUUGCCAUCAUUUAGUUGGGCACUCUAAGGUGACUGCCGGUGACAAACCGGAGGAAGGUGGGGAUGACGUCAAAUCAUCAUGCCCCUUAUGACCUGGGCUACACACGUGCUACAAUGGACGAUACAAACGGUUGCCAACUCGCGAGAGGGAGCUAAUCCGAUAAAGUCGUUCUCAGUUCGGAUUGUAGGCUGCAACUCGCCUACAUGAAGCCGGAAUCGCUAGUAAUCGCGGAUCAGCAUGCCGCGGUGAAUACGUUCCCGGGCCUUGUACACACCGCCCGUCACACCACGAGAGUUUGUAACACCCG